GUGAUUGCCCUCUGGGCUUAAAACUAUAUCCAUAUACACCUGUGAACCGUUUGAUUGACUCUCUGAGUUGAUUUUACAAACAUUGUGUAAUGAACGUCUAGUUAUUAUAACAAAAAUAACUUUCAACAACGGAUCUCUUGGCUCUCGCAUCGAUGAAGAACGCAGCGAAGUGCGAUAAGUAAUGUGAAUUGCAGAAUUCAGUGAAUCAUCGAAUCUUUGAACGCAACUUGCGCUCUCUGGUAUUCCGGAGAGCAUGCCUGUUUGAGUGUCAUGAAAUCUCAACCAUUAGGGUUUCUUAAUGGCUUGGAUUUGGGUGUUGCCAGUCUCUGGCUCGCCUUAAAGGAGUUAGCGAGUUUAACAAUGUCCUCUGGCGUAAUAAGUUUCGCUGGAAAGGCUUGUGAAGUUUGCUUCUAAUCGUCUUCGGACAAUUACUUUGACUCUGGCCUCAAAUCAGGUAGGACUACCCGCUGAACUUAAGCAUAUCAAUAAGCGGAGGAAAAGAAACUAACAAGGAUUCCCCUAGUAACGGCGAGUGAACCGGGAAGAGCUCAAAUUUGAAAUCUGGCAGUCUUCGAUUGUCCGAGUUGUAAUCUAUAGAAGCGUUUUCCGUGCUGAACUGUGUCUAAGUCCCUUGGAACAGGGUAUCAAAGAGGGUGACAAUCCCGUACUUGACACAAUCAUCAGUGCUCUGUGAUACGUUCUCUACGAGUCGAGUUGUUUGGGAAUGCAGCUCAAAAUGGGUGGUAAAUUCCAUCUAAAGCUAAAUAUUGGCGAGAGACCGAUAGCGAACAAGUACCGUGAGGGAAAGAUGAAAAGCACUUUGGAAAGGGAGUUAAACAGUACGUGAAAUUGUUGAAAGGGAAAUGAUUGAAGUCAGUCGUGUUCAUUGGAUUCAGCCGGUCUUCGGUGUAUUUCCUUUGAACGGGUCAACAUCAGUUUUGUCCGGUGGAUAAAGGUAGUAGGAAGGUGGCUCCUCCGGGAGUGUUAUAGCCUAUUGCCACAUACACUGGGUGAGACUGAGGACUGCAGCUUGCCUUUAUGGCCGGGGU
Molecule: ribosomal RNA, 1049 nt
Filed under: uncultured fungus
Lineage: Eukaryota; Fungi
Description: eukaryotic LSU rRNA
Rfam family: Eukaryotic large subunit ribosomal RNA (bases 441-1049)
Source: RNAcentral